ACUUUUACCGUCGAUUUUGGUGCUGCUCGUUAUUUUCGUAACGGAGCGGUGAAAAGGGAAUCAGGUGUGAAUCCUGAACAGACCCGCUGCUGUAAGCUUUUUAAAGUCUUUGGACAUUACUCACGCCACUGUUUUACAUGAACGGGAAGGACGUCCGGAGAUAAAGCAAGUCAGAAGACCUGCCAAGAUCAGAAACUUGGU
This 201-nucleotide non-coding RNA is filed under the name Odoribacter splanchnicus. The record is from RNAcentral. RNAcentral also lists the same sequence under 1 other name. Lineage: Bacteria; Pseudomonadati; Bacteroidota; Bacteroidia; Bacteroidales; Odoribacteraceae.